Molecule: ribosomal RNA, 341 nt
Filed under: uncultured Butyrivibrio sp.
Lineage: Bacteria; Bacillati; Bacillota; Clostridia; Lachnospirales; Lachnospiraceae
Description: partial 16S ribosomal RNA
Source: RNAcentral
GGAGUCUGGGCCGUGUCUCAGUCCCAAUGUGGCCGUCCGCCCUCUCAGGCCGGCUACUGAUCGUCGCUUCGGUGGGCCGUUACCCCGCCGACUGGCUAAUCAGAUGCGGAUCCAUUCCAUCCCGAUAAAUCUUUUCACUCCGCAGGAUGCCCUGCUGUGCGCUUAUGCGGUAUUACCAGCCGUUUCCAGCUGCUAUCCCCCUGGAUGGACCAGGUUAUCCACACGUUACUCACCCGUCCGCCACUAAGUAUAUACAAGAUUCUCUCUAUGCAAGCACUUCGAUCAUCAGCGCAUAUACUCCGUUCGACUUGCAUGUGUUAGGCACGCCGCCAGCGUUCAUC